GGUCUUGUGGUUUAGUGGUAUAAUUCUCGCUUAGGGUCACACCCUAUAGCCUUACUGCGAGAGGUCCCGUGUUCGAUCCACGGCAAGACCC
Molecule: non-coding RNA, 91 nt
Organism: Xylariales sp. PMI_506
Lineage: Eukaryota; Fungi; Ascomycota; Sordariomycetes; Xylariales
Source: the annotation of a GenBank genome assembly